CGUGGAGCUUUACUGUAGCCUGAUAUUGAAAUUCGGCACAGCUUGUACAGGAUAGGUAGGAGCCUUUGAAACGUGAGCGCUAGCUUACGUGGAGGCGCUGGUGGGAUACUACCCUAGCUGUGUUGGCUUUCUAACCCGCACCACUUAUCGUGGUGGGAGACAGUGUCAGGCGGGCAGUUUGACUGGGGCGGUCGCCUCCUAAAAGGUAACGGAGGCGCUCAAAGGUUCCCUCAGAAUGGUUGGAAAUCAUUCAUAGAGUGUAAAGGCAUAAGGGAGCUUGACUGCGAGACCUACAAGUCGAGCAGGGUCGAAAGACGGACUUAGUGAUCCGGUGGUUCCGCAUGGAAGGGCCAUCGCUCAACGGAUAAAAGCUACCCCGGGGAUAACAGGCUUAUCUCCCCCAAGAGUUCACAUCGACGGGGAGGUUUGGCACCUCG
This 437-nucleotide ribosomal RNA is filed under the name Staphylococcus aureus. RNAcentral describes it as "partial 23S ribosomal RNA". It matches the Rfam family "Bacterial large subunit ribosomal RNA", at positions 2092 to 2528 of the family's 2925-position model. The record is from RNAcentral. Lineage: Bacteria; Bacillati; Bacillota; Bacilli; Caryophanales; Staphylococcaceae.